CCCCAUAUAGCUCAGUUGGUAGAGCAUGAGAUUCUUAAUCUCAGAGUCGUGGGUUCGAACCCCACACUGGGCA
Non-coding RNA from Lacerta agilis (Sand lizard), 73 nucleotides. Lineage: Eukaryota; Metazoa; Chordata; Lepidosauria; Squamata; Lacertidae. The record is from the annotation of a RefSeq genome assembly.